Molecule: transfer RNA, 68 nt
Filed under: Coptotriche symplocosella
Lineage: Eukaryota; Metazoa; Arthropoda; Insecta; Lepidoptera; Tischeriidae
Also listed under: 1 other name
Description: tRNA-Leu
Source: RNAcentral
UCUAAUAUGACAGAAAAUCAUGUAAUGGAUUUAAGCCCCAUAUAUAAAGGAAUAACCUUUUUUUAGAA